UGGGCGCGUUAAGUUAAGGCGCUCGAGCGCGCUCUAGCCAGCAGAGCGCGCUCUUUUAAGCUUAACGACUAAAAAGCGACUUCCGGUGCGUGAUUGCGGAGCGCGCUCUACGCGCACCAUCCUGGAAACGGUGCGCGAGAGCGCGCACCUGCUACGGCUUCCGGAAAAAUGACGUCUUUCCUACUCUUUCCACCAAUGCAAGUCCGUUCUCCUUGCCCACUCGUUCCUCUCGCCGCCGCGCUGCCGGCCGUCUGAAGCUGCUGUCAGGCGAGAUCGGCAACGUGUUGGCGCGCAUUGAGCUUGCAUCGCAUCGUAAGCUGCUGCUGCUGCCUCCGUCGCCGCGCGUCAAGUUCUUCUACCUCUUCAUCGUCUAAACAAGGGCUGCAGAAGUACGGUCGGCGGGGCCAUUUUCGAGAAGCGCGCGAAGUGCAAUAGCGGAUGCGGAAGCAACAUAACAUUUGCCAGACGGCACGUUCGUGCACCCGAAAACAGUCGGCGAAAAUGGCCGUUAAGUUAAGCUCCGAAGGCGUCGCACUCGAGCGCACUCGAGCGUGCUCCCUUGGAGUUCGGAGCGCGCUAACUUAACGCGCCCAUUCUAUGCUCGCGCAGCAGCAGGAGCGAAAUGCCGGUGUUGCACAGCGGUGUCACAGAGCCACCGCGCUGCGACCACUUCGGCGGCACAAUCCAAAUUUGUCGGACAUCUCAUUCUGUGCUGGAAACACUGGGAGGCAGGAAGUUUGAAAAAAACGGCCACUCCCGCCCGCGAUGUCUCGGUCGUAGGUUCGUUAUGCCACUUGUUCAAGCCGUUCUGUACAUUUAUACUGGAUAUUAACUGGAGUCAUUUAGCUGUUCUGAUGCUGUUUGCCGUGUGUUUUGCAUCAGUGCUUCGUGACAUCGGCUGUAUUGCGUAUUUUCGCCGACGGCUUACUACCACAAUGGCGGGAUCUGCGUUCGCCGCCUUCGUGUCUCGGUGCGUCUUUGUACGUCGCACGUUCGGAUAACACUUUUUCCGACGGCUGGACAUCCUUCUUGUACCUUGGCGCUAGCUGGAUGACGGGACCUCAUCAUGAUCAGUGUAUUGCUUUCCUGUCUACAAGAACUGUCAUGUGUGGCCUGUGACAGCAAGCUUUUGUGGGCAGCCAGUGCUCUCCUACGAAGGCUGGCCUACUCUGGCAGCGGCGGCAAUCAUCUUUAAGAUUUAUCGAUGAUCACCUUUGCUGCUAUUUGUCACUCUUCUUAAUUACACUUUCUGAAUCUUUUCUAAUCUAUUAGGUAAUAAAGUAUGAGUAUGUGACAGGGUGUGAAGUUGAUGCCUUGCUGCAUUUUAGCUUGCAAUCACCUUUUAUGCAUGAAAAGCUCAUCAUACAAUUUAUGAAAAAAAGAAAUAACAGCAUAUUAUGAUUUAUCUUUCAGUAUCUUGUAACAUGCAACAUACAAGGAAUUCACUAAUGGAUGGUAUGCCGAAGAACUGGCCAUUAUUUCUGCGUGAUGCUGUGCAAGCAUUUGGCGUUACCUUACAAGAGGCACCCGGAAAGUAAGUUACAAUUUACUUUUAAAUGAAGCAUGGACAUCAGAAAAAAUAUAUUUAUAUUGCUAGUUAGAGUGGUUCGCAGAGUGUUUUUCCAGAUGUGUACUAUCCUUUAUUUCUUAACUCAUUGCAGCAGUGUUCUGUUGCGUAUACUGGUGUAAGGCUAUUGUGCCCCCUGUAGCUGAAACCAGGAUAUAAUUUUUGCCUGAACUGCAGCAUCACUGACAAAAUUUUUCUUUGCUAGAAACUAUUUCAAUUUGGUGGAGACCCAGCAGGGCGAAGUUUUGUCAAUAAUGGUGUGUUUCACGCAGAGAUGUUCUUGUUUAGGUCAAUGAGUGAACAUUGGGAGUAUAUCAGCAUACAAUACAGAUCUUGUUUGAUUUGCAAAAUAAUUCUGACAGGUGGCAUUCAAUUGAUUGGUCUAAUUAAAAAGCACAAAUUGACCAAUGAGGCUGUACUACACUAUUCCCAUGUUUCACAUCUGGAAAAACUACCUCUGCAUCACUCUAUCCGACAAUAUAAACUUUUUUUUCUGAUGUCCAUGCCUCGUUUAAAAUAAAUUGUAACUGUGGGCAAACGUCGUGUUACUGUAAGAGCUGCCGCAAAAAUUUGAGGGAAUGUCUAAUAAAAGUCUUCAGUUGUUCUUGUCAAGCUGUCCAUUAGCCAACUUUUAGCGUAACGUUAGCAGGGCUAACUGAAGUACUUCUAGACGUCCAUGGCUACAAAAUGUCUUGAUCAAGACAGCUACUAGGCUUUUGAAUUAGCCGUUGAAGACAUCUUUUAGACAUCAAAUAGC
Dermacentor albipictus is the source of this 2324-nucleotide long non-coding RNA. RefSeq lists it as uncharacterized. Lineage: Eukaryota; Metazoa; Arthropoda; Arachnida; Ixodida; Ixodidae. The record is from RefSeq and is a predicted model, not a curated record.